AGGUGGGGCUGAUGACUGGGGUGAAGUCGUAACAAGGUAGCCGUACCGGAAGGUGCGGCUGGAUCACCUCCUAACAGGGAGACAAUAAAUUGAUUGUGAUGUCUAAGUUAUUUAUUCUUAGGCCGCAAUCCUGUCACCUUAAGGUCGAUCGGUACCUCAGAUUUUUGAAUUAGUUUUAGAAUUGAUUCUUUGAUUUCAGUUCCUAAACUUGUCUAGGUCACACCCAACAAAGGUUUCUCCUGGGCCAUUAGCUCAGGUGGUUAGAGCGCACCCCUGAUAAGGGUGAGGUCCCUGGUUCAAGUCCAGGAUGGCCCAUUCGUUGUUGGGGGUAUAGCUCAGUUGGUAGAGCGCCUGCUUUGCAAGCAGGAUGUCAGCGGUUCGAGUCCGCUUACCUCCACUGAAAACUAUCCUGAUAACUAAAUUCUGGAGAAAAAUUGUAAAUGUGGCUUAGAAUUGUCUAUUGAAAAAGAA
RNAcentral lists this unclassified non-coding RNA (471 nucleotides) under uncultured Prochlorococcus sp. RNAcentral's name for it is "partial may contain 16S ribosomal RNA, 16S-23S ribosomal RNA intergenic spacer, and 23S ribosomal RNA". The stretch from base 325 to 397 matches the Rfam family "tRNA". The record is from RNAcentral. Lineage: Bacteria; Bacillati; Cyanobacteriota; Cyanophyceae; Synechococcales; Prochlorococcaceae.